RNAcentral lists this ribosomal RNA (947 nucleotides) under Salmonella enterica. RNAcentral describes it as "partial 23S ribosomal RNA". It matches the Rfam family "Bacterial large subunit ribosomal RNA", at positions 1 to 977 of the family's 2925-position model. Lineage: Bacteria; Pseudomonadati; Pseudomonadota; Gammaproteobacteria; Enterobacterales; Enterobacteriaceae. The record is from RNAcentral.
GGGUUGUGAGGUUAAGCGACUAAGCGUACACGGUGGAUGCCCUGGCAGUCAGAGGCGAUGAAGGGCGUGCUAAUCUGCGAUAAGCGCCGGUAAGGUGAUAUGAACCGUUAUAACCGGCGAUACCCGAAUGGGGAAACCCAGUGUGAUUCGUCACACUAUCAUUAACUGAAUCCAUAGGUUAAUGAGGCGAACCGGGGGAACUGAAACAUCUAAGUACCCCGAGGAAAAGAAAUCAACCGAGAUUCCCCCAGUAGCGGCGAGCGAACGGGGAGGAGCCCAGAGCCUGAAUCAGCAUGUGUGUUAGUGGAAGCGUCUGGAAAGGCGCGCGAUACAGGGUGACAGCCCCGUACACAAAAGCGCAUAUGCUGUGAGCUCGAUGAGUAGGGCGGGACACGUGGUAUCCUGUCUGAAUAUGGGGGGACCAUCCUCCAAGGCUAAAUACUCCUGACUGACCGAUAGUGAACCAGUACCGUGAGGGAAAGGCGAAAAGAACCCCGGCGAGGGGAGUGAAAAAGAACCUGAAACCGUGUACGUACAAGCAGUGGGAGCACAGGUUUACCUGUGUGACUGCGUACCUUUUGUAUAAUGGGUCAGCGACUUAUAUUCUGUAGCAAGGUUAACCGUAUAGGGGAGCCGUAGGGAAACCGAGUCUUAAUUGGGCGUUAAGUUGCAGGGUAUAGACCCGAAACCCGGUGAUCUAGCCAUGGGCAGGUUGAAGGUUGGGUAACACUAACUGGAGGACCGAACCGACUAAUGUUGAAAAAUUAGCGGAUGACCUGUGGCUGGGGGUGAAAGGCCAAUCAAACCGGGAGAUAGCUGGUUCUCCCCGAAAGCUAUUUAGGUAGCGCCUCGUGAAUUCAUCUCCGGGGGUAGAGCACUGUUUCGGCUAGGGGGCCAUCCCGGCUUACCAACCCGAUGCAAACUGCGAAUACCGGAGAAUGUUAUCA